RNAcentral lists this ribosomal RNA (301 nucleotides) under uncultured bacterium. RNAcentral's name for it is "partial 16S ribosomal RNA". It matches the Rfam family "Bacterial small subunit ribosomal RNA", at positions 509 to 807 of the family's 1533-position model. The record is from RNAcentral.
CAGCAGCCGCGGGAAUACGGAGGGGGCUAGCGUUGUUCGGAAUUACUGGGCGUAAAGCGCACGUAGGCGGCUUGGUAAGUUAGAGGUGAAAGCCUGGAGCUCAACUCCAGAAUUGCCUCUAAGACUGCCGAGCUAGCAGGUGAGAGAGGUAAGUGGAAUUCCGAGUGUAGAGGUGAAAUUCGUAGAUAUUCGGAAGAACACCAGUGGCGAAGGCGGCUUACUGGCUCAUACUGGACGCUGAGGUGCGAAAGCGUGGGGAGCAAACAGGAUUAGAUACCCCCGUAGUCCCUGUCUCUUAUAC